GUUUCCAAAACAAAGGAGUUAAAAACAUGGCCGAUGAUCAAGGGAAUCAAGACAGUUUGAGACAGUUUGUUGCCGAUGAAUGUAAAGCUCAAGCUACAGAGCGGUCUGACGUUGAAAACCCUGAGAAUGUGACUUUAGAUGCCGAGAGAAUGAAUAACUUUUAUCAGCGUGCGUUGAGGGAAAGCGAGCGAAUGAGCAAUGAAGUCACUAGAUCCCACAUGCAGAGAAGUGAACUUCAUAAAGAACUAGGAGCAGACAUGUUUAAGAGCUGGACUCAAGAUCAUGCUCAAGAGGUCCUCAGUUCUGAAAGGUAUGAACUGUGGAGCAAAGAAGAAGAAAAGGCAGAAGAAGCUCUUAAACAGCUGAAGAAUUCAUCAAUCUGCGAAGACGAAAGCAGUGAUGAUGCAUCACAUUGACAAACUUUAUUAUAUUGGAACAUAUGGUAGCAGAAAUUAGGAAUUCAUGGAAGUCUUGGUAUUUAAAAUUGUGUAUAGAUUGACUGUUAUAUUUUUGGUACAUGAAUUUGUGGCUCACAGCUGGUGACUUAGACUCUAGCACAAGGUUGUACCAUUUUUGUUACCAAUGUAAGGACACAACAGACACUGGUUGUGAUGAAAACAACAAACUAUAAAAGGCCUGUUUACAUGGAGGUUGGGAAUCCCCGAUAGUUAAGGUAACUUGCCUUUCCAUGUAAUCUCUUAUUUUAUCUUGAUCAUAUUUAUACGACAGGUGUGGUGAUUCACCCAGGCAGGAUUAGCCCAGUCUGCCAGGUCAUGGUAGUGACAUCUUAACUCCCUCAGUGCAAGCACAACAACAACCUCAAGAAACUUCCUGGCAUCCAAUGGUUGUAAGAUUGUUUGUCUACACUUGCU
RNAcentral lists this unclassified non-coding RNA (872 nucleotides) under Pocillopora damicornis (cauliflower coral). RNAcentral's name for it is "uncharacterized LOC113676099, transcript variant X1". Lineage: Eukaryota; Metazoa; Cnidaria; Anthozoa; Scleractinia; Pocilloporidae. The record is from RNAcentral.